GCGGCGGGUAGAAUCCUUUGC
RNAcentral lists this non-coding RNA (21 nucleotides) under Arabidopsis thaliana (thale cress). The record is from RNAcentral. Lineage: Eukaryota; Viridiplantae; Streptophyta; Magnoliopsida; Brassicales; Brassicaceae.